Molecule: long non-coding RNA, 2670 nt
Filed under: Vigna radiata
Lineage: Eukaryota; Viridiplantae; Streptophyta; Magnoliopsida; Fabales; Fabaceae
Description: long non-coding RNA (VRAD_LNC012970)
Source: RNAcentral
AUGUAUUAUAAAAAUACUUUAAAAUAGGUAAAUAAAAUAAAGUAGUAAUAAUAACCACUAAAAUAAAAACCAUAGGAUAUCUAAACAAAUUUUAUUUUUAAUAAUAAAUUGGGCUUGAGCCCAUAUUGGAAAGAGAGGUGAAGAUGGAGGAUAAGGGGUGAAGGAAAGUAGAAUAGGGGCUGCAAGGUAGAGAUGUUUUUUGUUUGACCCGUAUGGGCCCAAUUGACUACUGGUACGGUGCGAAAUAGUAAAACGGGGGUGUAGAAGGAAUAACAUAAAAAACUAAAGAAAAAAAAAUGAUAAAAUAGAAAAGUUAAAAUGGACCCCAGCCCAAUCCCCCUCUUCAGAAUUUUCCUAGGGUUUUCUCACCCCCCAAACUCUCUAGGAGGCUCUCAUUUGCAACACUCUAGCUUCUACUCAGAAACCUAAAGUCUCUCAUCUCUCCACUCUGCCAGCAAACCUAGGGUUUCUACUUCCACCGGCAGCCGCGAAUCACACCACCCCCAACCGGCCAGCCACCGCGCCGUCCCCUCUACUCCGUCAACGGAGUUUCCGGUGACAGCAAACGCUGCCAGAACCGCAGCGUCGGGCCACGACGUUCUCUCCCUCCCCCUCUCUCUCUGUUCGAUCUAGGGUUGGGGUUUCUUCUCAAAUGCGCUGGCGCCUCCUCCGACAUCCACGGCGCCACCACCGUCGAGGUUCGUCUCGCAUCAUCGCCGGCGACGCCAACCCUCACCGAAAGCGUCGAGCACGAACCCUCCUUCUUCUUUAAAUUCGAAACCGCUACCGUCAGAGUAGAUGGGCGUUGCCGCCGCCGUCGACCACCAGUAGCAGCCUUGAGGAUUGGUUUCCUCUCCGACCCUCCACUUCUUCGUUCGCCAUUUCACGUUACCUCAGCUCUCAACUUCGACUUGGUUACUCAACGAGACAGGGUUGCUUAACAGUGGUUUAAAGUUCCAGAUUUUGUGCUUGUGCUCCUGUGCAUGUGUUUGGCGACCUUGGGUUUCUGUUAUGGUAUGGUGCGUGUGUGUAUUUGGACCUGUGUGAGGAACAGAGGUGGGGAACGGAGGAAUUGGUGAAGCUUGGGAGUGUAAGGUUUGGGUUGGAGGAGAAUAGAAUGGUGAUUGGGGCUGGAAAUUAGUUUUGGUUCUUGGUGAUUGGUGCCUAUCUCUGUGACUUAGCGCCUUGCAGGUUGAGGGUGAUCGGGCCAUAUAAACUACACUCUGCUUUUGUCCAUUUCUAGCCUUUUGGUUAGAGUUUGAUAACUGGGUUCUGUAUCUCAAGUCUCUGCUUAUGCUAUGUCUAUUGAGAUGUAUUUAUCAUUGUGAACUAAACUGAUUGGAGUUAGCUCUCUCUUUCUUGCUUGGUGAAGAAGGACAGGGUAUGGGAUAUUUUCUUCUGGGUUGCAGGGAAGCUAGGAGCAAGGGGUGACAAAAAUGGCGAAAAUGUGGAAGCCAUCCAACAGCAAAAGAAAAUCAAAGAGUGAAUAUGGGAUGGUGGUGGUGGCGUCGUAAACGACUCAAGGAGGUUGGGUUAGUUUUUCUUUGCUUGGUUGUCAACUCCAUUGGACACAGGCGAGGAAACAGAGCAUGGGACAGUGUGGGAUAGUGAAUGGAGAACGGGAAGGAUUCAAGUCACAUGAUCAUACACAACAUGGUAGGUAAAAUUCUCUAUAACAGUCAUAACACCAAUGCAACAGUAAUAUGUUCAAGGACAAAAACAUGGAGUGCGAGGAGGCAUUACUUACCUCUUGAAGACUCGAUUGCCAACGCAUCCUUGCGUAUCCGAUGAGUCUCCUUCUCCUCCGACGCAGUUCCAAAUAUUGCUCUCACAGCUCCUUGAUUCUUGAUGCAGCGAGCAAUUUUUUUUUUGCUUAGUGUUCUCUUCGUAAAAAAUAAUGCUGAAAAUGCCACCCUCUUUUGUUAUCGUUCCCCCUGGCCAAAGCUCUCUCGACCCUUUUUUUGGUUCUCGCCUCAGCUUCCUGCUCCACUUCUCAGUAACCGUUUUCUCUGCUCUGUCAAAUUCCAAAAACGUCUCUGCUGCCAUGUUUCCUCAGACCACCUUAUCUCUUUGUCGUUAUGCACACAUCGCCACCACGCUUCAAGCUCCUUUUUUUUUUAUUUUUUUUUAUUUUUUUUUAAAGAAAAACUAACUUAAUUAUAUUAGCACAAAACUAAUAAUAAAAAUAAAACGAAACCCAAAAAAUGAAAAUUAUGAAACGAAAAAUAAAAAGAAAGAUAAGAUAAAAUAAAAUAAAAAUAAAAAGAAGGAAUAAAAAUAAGUAGAGGAAUAAAUAAAAUGAAAAUCAAGAUAAGAAAAUUUGGUAUUGACAAUAAAAGUUACAUGUCAUUAGAAAUUACACAUAUUUCCUAGUCCAUCAUUUAAUAAAUUUACGAAAUAAAGAUUAAAGCAAAAAUUAAAUUUCCAUAUCAAGCAAUUAACAACUAAUAAUCCUAACUAAUAAAAGGAUGAAUCUUUAAACGGAAUAAAAGUAUGAAUUAUACAAUUUUGGGUUCAUGGACUCAACCUCUUUGAAGUUCAGAAAGGCAAAAUAUUCCCAGAAUAACAAUGAAAAAGAACAAUUUGACCUCUUUUUGUCUUUACAGCAAUUCUUUAUUUCGGGGCCCAAUGGCAUUGGAUCUGAGAUAAACAAAUUAUUCUAUAAAAAGC